This 253-nucleotide ribosomal RNA is filed under the name uncultured bacterium. Its description in RNAcentral is "partial 16S ribosomal RNA". It matches the Rfam family "Bacterial small subunit ribosomal RNA", at positions 524 to 776 of the family's 1533-position model. The record is from RNAcentral.
UACGUAGGUGGCAAGCGUUAUCCGGAAUUAUUGGGCGUAAAGCGCGCGCAGGCGGUCCUUUAAGUCUGAUGUGAAAGCUCACGGCUCAACCGUGGAGGGUCAUUGGAAACUGGGGGACUUGAGUGCAGAAGAGGAGAGCGGAAUUCCACGUGUAGCGGUGAAAUGCGUAGAGAUGUGGAGGAACACCAGUGGCGAAGGCGGCUCUCUGGUCUGUAACUGACGCUGAGGCGCGAAAGCGUGGGGAGCGAACAGG